CAGUCUGACCUGCCCCCUGACUAGUGUUAAAGGGCUGCGGUAUCUCGACCGUGCUAAGGUAGCAUAAUCAAUAGUCUUUUAAUUGAGGUCUAGUAUGAACGGUUGGACAGGAGGUAAGCUGUCUUGGGCGUGUAUUUUGAAUUUUACUUUUAAGUGAGAAGGCUUAAAUUUUGUGAGGGGACGAUAAGACCCUAUAAAGCUUUACUUGCUAACUUUAAUUUGAGAAGAUUUAAGUGGCUUUAGUCUUGAGGGUUAGCUAGUUUCGUUGGGGCGACGGGAAUAUAAGUUGUAACUGUUCUUUUUGAUAAAAUAACUAUUUUUAGAUAAUUUGAUCCUUUUUUUAGAUUAAAAGAUUAAAGUUACUUUAGGGAUAACAGCGUAAUUUUUUUUGAGAGUUCAUAUCGACAAAAAUAGUUGCGACCUCGAUGUUGAAUUAAGGUGUCGUCAAGGUGUAGCAGUUUUGACAGUAAGUCUGUUCGACUUUUAAAACCUU
RNAcentral lists this ribosomal RNA (493 nucleotides) under Atya lanipes. Its description in RNAcentral is "partial 16S ribosomal RNA". It matches the Rfam family "Bacterial large subunit ribosomal RNA", at positions 1848 to 2597 of the family's 2925-position model. Lineage: Eukaryota; Metazoa; Arthropoda; Malacostraca; Decapoda; Atyidae. The record is from RNAcentral.